CAGUCGAAGGUAGGAUAAGUGACUGGGGUGAAGUCGUAACAAGGUAGCCGUAUCGGAAGGUGCGGCUGGAUCACCUCCUUU
Molecule: ribosomal RNA, 81 nt
Filed under: Peptoniphilus ovalis
Lineage: Bacteria; Bacillati; Bacillota; Tissierellia; Tissierellales; Peptoniphilaceae
Description: Peptoniphilus sp. MSJ-1 partial 16S ribosomal RNA
Rfam family: Bacterial small subunit ribosomal RNA
Source: RNAcentral